AGGCGGCAGGCCUACACAUGCAGUCGAGCGGAGAGAGGUAGCUUGCUACUGAUCUUAGCGGCGGACGGGUGAGUAAUGCUUAGGAAUCUGCCUAUUAGUGGGGGACAACAUUUCGAAAGGAAUGCUAAUACCGCAUACGUCCUACGGGAGAAAGCAGGGGAUCUUCGGACCUUGCGCUAAUAGAUGAGCCUAAGUCGGAUUAGCUAGUUGGUGGGGUAAAGGCCUACCAAGGCGACGAUCUGUAGCGGGUCUGAGAGGAUGAUCCGCCACACUGGGACUGAGACACGGCCCAGACUCCUACGGGAGGCAGCAGUGGGGAAUAUUGGACAAUGGGCGCAAGCCUGAUCCAGCCAUGCCGCGUGUGUGAAGAAGGCCUUAUGGUUGUAAAGCACUUUAAGCGAGGAGGAGGCUACUUUACUUAAUACCUAGAGAUAGUGGACGUUACUCGCAGAAUAAGCACCGGCUAACUCUGUGCCAGCAGCCGCGGUAAUACAGAGGGUGCAAGCGUUAAUCG
This 514-nucleotide ribosomal RNA is filed under the name uncultured Acinetobacter sp. RNAcentral's name for it is "bacterial SSU rRNA". It matches the Rfam family "Bacterial small subunit ribosomal RNA", at positions 37 to 547 of the family's 1533-position model. Lineage: Bacteria; Pseudomonadati; Pseudomonadota; Gammaproteobacteria; Moraxellales; Moraxellaceae. The record is from RNAcentral.